This is a non-coding RNA of Peromyscus maniculatus bairdii (prairie deer mouse), 767 nucleotides long. NCBI's taxonomy places the organism in Eukaryota, Metazoa, Chordata, Mammalia, Rodentia, Cricetidae. The record is from RefSeq and is a predicted model, not a curated record.
GUGUAGAACCGGCUGAGGCUGAGGCUCACUUUGGUCCUAACACACCCUGCAGUGACUGGCGGCCAGGGCUCAGGGAUGGACGUGGUACAGCCGGGCUGCGAGGGAACAGGCUGCUCAGCCACCUGCCCUUUGUGGGCUACGGGGCAAGACGGGCUUGGGGCAGCGAGCGCCCUGUGGAAGUCUCCGGCCCGUCCUGGACCCGCGACUGUGCUGCGACAACAGGGCCGGGCCUUGUCCUCCCGCCUGGACCCAGCUCAGAGCUCCUGCCCGGCCAAGCGGCUGGAACGCGGCGACAGCAACUCCUGCCAACUGCAGAGCCCUCUGCCCGCAGGCGAUCGGCCUCUCCCCGCCACACGUUCCUAGUGAAAGUAGGGCCAGGUCGAGCCCCGGGUAGCACCAGAGCUUCAGGCUUCCCAGAUGCGGUCUCCUGGGCCUCCCGGAUUGAGGGUAGCAUUGCCGGCAGCUUCCUCCAAAGCAGGUGGGAGCAACACCACCCCGUUCCAAAACCCCUCUCCAUCAAUAUCUCCAGUCGCCGUCCCCGAUCUCCCUUAUAAAGUCUACAUCAAUGCGAAGGGGGUUCAAGACCUCAAGAAAACGUCCUCUAUCUUUACAGAGGCCAGCGGGGGUCUGUUUCCUACUAACCGCGGGAUCGCCUUAUUGGUCCCUCGCCAAUUCAGCCCUUCCAUUCAUCUUUCCCCAUUCUCUCCAAAUGUCGGUUCCACUGUGGGCUAAAUAAAAUUUUAAUUUACAUUAUUACAGAUUCAAAA